This 460-nucleotide ribosomal RNA is filed under the name uncultured bacterium. RNAcentral's name for it is "partial 16S ribosomal RNA". It matches the Rfam family "Bacterial small subunit ribosomal RNA", at positions 338 to 795 of the family's 1533-position model. The record is from RNAcentral.
CCUACGGGUGGCAGCAGUGAGGAAUAUUGGUCAAUGGACGAGAGUCUGAACCAGCCAAGUAGCGUGAAGGAUGACUGCCCUAUGGGUUGUAAACUUCUUUUAUAAAGGAAUAAAACGAGGCACGUGUGCCUUUUUGCAUGUACUUUAUGAAUAAGGAUCGGCUAACUCCGUGCCAGCAGCCGCGGUAAUACGGAGGAUCCGAGCGUUAUCCGGAUUUAUUGGGUUUAAAGGGAGCGUAGAUGGGUUGUUAAGUCAGUUGUGAAAGUUUGCGGCUCAACCGUAAAAUUGCAAUUGAUACUGGCAGUCGUGAGUACAGUUGAGGUAGGCGGAAUUCGUGGUGUAGCGGUGAAAUGCUUAGAUAUCACGAAGAACCCCGAUUGCGAAGGCAGCUUACUAAACUGUGACUGACAUUGAUGCUCGAAAGUGUGGGUAUCAAACAGGAUUAGAUACCCGGGUAGUG